AUUGAACGCUGGCGGCAGGCCUAACACAUGCAAGUCGAACGGUAACAGGAAACAGCUUGCUGUUUCGCUGACGAGUGGCGGACGGGUGAGUAAUGUCUGGGAAACUGCCUGAUGGAGGGGGAUAACUACUGGAAACGGUAGCUAAUACCGCAUAACGUCGCAAGACCAAAGAGGGGGACCCUCGGGCCUCUUGCCAUCGGAUGUGCCCAGAUGGGAUUAGCUUGUUGGUGGGGUAACGGCUCACCAAGGCGACGAUCCCUAGCUGGUCUGAGAGGAUGACCAGCCACACUGGAACUGAGACACGGUCCAGACUCCUACGGGAGGCAGCAGUGGGGAAUAUUGCACAAUGGGCGCAAGCCUGAUGCAGCCAUGCCGCGUGUAUGAAGAAGGCCUUCGGGUUGUAAAGUACUUUCAGCGGGGAGGAAGGGAGUAAAGUUAAUACCUUUGCUCAUUGACGUUACCCGCAGAAGAAGCACCGGCUAACUCCGUGCCAGCAGCCGCGGUAAUACGGAGGGUGCAAGCGUUAAUCGGAAUUACUGGGCAUAAAGCGCACGCAGGCGGUUUGUUAAGUCAGAUGUGAAAUCCCCGGGCUCAACCUGGGAACUGCAUCUGAUACUGGCAAGCUUGAGUCUCGUAGAGGGGGGUAGAAUUCCAGGUGUAGCGGUGAAAUGCGUAGAGAUCUGGAGGAAUACCGGUGGCGAAGGCGGCCCCCUGGACGAAGACUGACGCUCAGGUGCGAAAGCGUGGGGAGCGAACAGGAUUAGAUACCCUGGUAGUCCACGCCGUAAACGAUGUCGACUUGGAGGUUGUGCCCUUGAGGCGUGGCUUCCGGAGCUAACGCGUUAAGUCGACCGCCUGGGGAGUACGGCCGCAAGGUUAAAACUCAAAUGAAUUGACGGGGGCCCGCACAAGCGGUGGAGCAUGUGGUUUAAUUCGAUGCAACGCGAAGAACCUUACCUGGUCUUGACAUCCACGGAAGUUUUCAGAGAUGAGAAUGUGCCUUCGGGAACCGUGAGACAGGUGCUGCAUGGCUGUCGUCAGCUCGUGUUGUGAAAUGUUGGGUUAAGUCCCGCAACGAGCGCAACCCUUAUCCUUUGUUGCCAGCGGUCCGGCCGGGAACUCAAAGGAGACUGCCAGUGAUAAACUGGAGGAAGGUGGGGAUGACGUCAAGUCAUCAUGGCCCUUACGACCAGGGCUACACACGUGCUACAAUGGCGCAUACAAAGAGAAGCGACCUCGCGAGAGCAAGCGGACCUCAUAAAGUGCGUCGUAGUCCGGAUUGGAGUCUGCAACUCGACUCCAUGAAGUCGGAAUCGCUAGUAAUCGUGGAUCAGAAUGCCACGGUGAAUACGUUCCCGGGCCU
RNAcentral lists this ribosomal RNA (1363 nucleotides) under uncultured bacterium. Its description in RNAcentral is "bacterial SSU rRNA". It matches the Rfam family "Bacterial small subunit ribosomal RNA", at positions 28 to 1381 of the family's 1533-position model. The record is from RNAcentral.